UUGCUCACAUAGUCAGAACAAAAAGAAAGAAACACAAAAUGUAUGGAUAAACUAAGUUAAUAAGCACUUUAUUAUUUAAUUCUAAUCUACAGUGCUGGCAUAAUUUUACCUGCUUUCCCUAGUUUUCCAGUGGCCAGAGGUCUACAGGACAUAUAGUGUUCAUUUGUUAAUAGAAGGUUAAUAAUAUUAUUCCUUACAUUUACUAAUAGUAUAUAUUACAAUGAAUACUUUACUUUAGGUAUCCACUACCUGUAUUCACUUUAACUACAUUAGUAUGAUUCUUAACAUAAAGGAAUACACUCAGCAACACUUACAACACUUGAACAAGAGAGCAGUCGAUUCUGUUUGUUUUUCAUUUAUUUGAUUGGACAAGAUUGUAACCAAUCUAGAGACUACAACAGUUUUAUGUUAAGACUUAUGUGAAGUGUUGUCUUGUUGUAUAACAUAUAUAUGUUAAGAACUGUUUAUUUACCUUGAUUCAACACUGCGACAACUAUUUUGAUUGUUAUUAAGUCAACAAUAAGACUAUCUGGUUUUGAUUUCUAUUUGACAGAAUUGACACUUGAAACUAUAAAGAGGAAUAGUUUUUCCAUGAUACCUUUGUAAGUGUUGCUGAGUGUAUUCCUUUAUGUUAAGAAUCAUACUAAUGUAGUUAAAUUAUUUAUUAUUUAUUAACAGUAUUUAUAUUCCGCCCUUCUCACCCCGAAGGGGACUCAGGGGCGGAUUACAAUAAACACAUAUAUGGCAAACAUUCAAUGCCAACAGACAAACAACAUACAUAGACAGACACAGAGGCAUUUAACAUUUUUUUCCAGCUUCACGAUUCCGGCCACAGGGGGAGCUGUUGCUUCACUGUCCACUAGUGGCUGUACUUCCUCAUUCCAUUCCUCGUGUUUUGCUGGAAAAAUGUUAAAAUGCCUCUGAGUCUGUCUAAUGUAUGUUGUUUGUCUGUUGGCAUUGAAUGUUUGCCAUAUAUGUGUUUAUUGUAAUUCGCCCUGAGUCCCCUUCGGGGUGAGAAGGGUGGAAUAUAAAUACUGUAAAUAAAUAAAUAGGACUAUGGUAAAGGUAAAGAUUUCCCCUGACAUUUAGUCUAGUCGUGUCCAACUCUGGGGGGUGCUGCUCAUCUCCGUUCCUAAACCAAAGAGCCAGCUUUGUCCAUAGACACCUCCAAGGUCAUGUGGCCAGCAUGACUGCAUGGAGCACUGUUACCUUCCCCCCAAGGUGGUACCUAUUGAUCUAUUCACAUUUGCAUGUUUUUGAACUACUAGGUUGGCAGAAACUGGGGCUAACAGCAGGAGCUCACCCCGCUCUCUGGAUUUGAACCUCCAAUCUUUUGGUCAGCAAGUUCAGCAGCUCAGAGGUUUAACCCACUGCACCAUCAGCGGACCUGUAGGACUGUCUGAAAUUUACCUGUUUUUUUCAUCUUUAGAAUUGACUGUCUCUUUCUAGAUCAGGGGUCCCCAAACUAAGGCCUGGGGGCCGGAUGCGGCCCGUCGAAGCCAUUUAUCCGGCCCCACAGCACAAGGGCAGAAGGGGGUUGGGCUAAAUGACCCAAGGGGUCUCUUCCAACCCUCUUUAUUAUUAUUAUUAUUAUUAUUAUUAUUAUUAUUAUUAUUAUUAUUAUUAACAUUGAGGCUGGGUGGCCAUCUGUCAGGGGUGCUUUGCUUGUGCCUUUUGGUGCAGAAAGGCAGAAGAGGGUUGGACUAAAAGGCCCAACGGGUCUCUUCCAACCCUCUUUAU
Long non-coding RNA from Anolis carolinensis (green anole), 1740 nucleotides. Lineage: Eukaryota; Metazoa; Chordata; Lepidosauria; Squamata; Anolidae. The record is from Ensembl.